GCAGUGGAGACACAGAGGAGAGGAGCUUGUGAGUCUUAAGUCUGGUUCACACGGCACGAUUUAAGGAUUGUCAGCCGAUUUUCCAAACCUCUGUGACCACAGAGCCGAUAAAAGUACAACAGGUUCAAUCGGUUCGUGUGUUCAGCCGCACGGCAGGAGCAACACACCACCGAUCCAGAACCGAUUCCACUCAUGAACAUCCUGAUUCCAGAAGA
Long non-coding RNA from Xiphophorus couchianus (Monterrey platyfish), 215 nucleotides. RefSeq lists it as uncharacterized. The record is from RefSeq and is a predicted model, not a curated record. NCBI's taxonomy places the organism in Eukaryota, Metazoa, Chordata, Actinopteri, Cyprinodontiformes, Poeciliidae. The transcript is spliced from 3 exons.